UCGAAGAGAAGGUAAUUUCUCUUUUCUUCUUAUCUCUUUCUUUUUCUCUUUCCUCUCAUGCUUUUCUUCUCCUCUUCUGCCGAUCUCGAUUCAACAGAAUUGAGUUUGUGUUUGUACGUGGAUCUGUAAUAAGCUUAGUAAGAUGAUGUAUCGAGUGAGUAUAUGUUGUGCUGAAAUUAUUGGAGCUUUAGAAGAAGAUGAUAAAGUUGUUGCUGGAAUUGGAGUUAGGGUUUUCUAAAGGAUGAAGUUGAUCGAGGAAUUAUAUGGAAUUGAGUAUGAAAUCAAUUAAUUGAAGACGGGUUGUGUAUAUCAAAAACAAUAAAGAAGAAUUGGGUGUUCUAUUUCGGUUCACAAGGAAGGAAUGAAGGAAUUAGGGUUUUAUAAUUCAUUGAAGAUAAGAUUAGAGUUUAUUAAGAUAAUUGCAGAAUUAGGGUUGGUGUUGGAUAUUGAUCGAUUGGAUGAAGUUAGGGUUUCUGGAUGAACUAGAAGAUGGAAUCGAUAUCUUAGGGAGAAGAUUAGAGAUGGGGGUUUGUGUUAUGAGAACUAAUGUUGCUGAUGAAGGCUAGGGAUUGAUUUUGUUAAUAAGAAGAUGAUGGAAUUAAUUUCAGUGCCGAUCUGUUUGAUGCUUGAGCGAAGCAAGUUUGAGGGAGAAUUGAAGUUGAAACUUGGUUAGUAGUAAUUGAACCGGGUUGAGGGAGUUCAUUGCUUAGCUGCAAUUGUGAAGAUAUGGAUGUGCAGGUGAUGGUUUGAAUGAAUGAGAUGUUGAAUGAAGUAUGGGUUUAGUGAGGUGAUCUUGAGAUGGUUAUGGAACUGAGAAUGAGCCAAGAUGUGCUUUUGAAGCUGUAAUGGUAGUGUGGAUGAAGCUAUAUGGGAUACGAAUGGAUGGUGGAGGUUUAGGAACUGUUUUGAGGAGGAGUUAUAUUACACUGAACUGAUUAUUGAGGCAGUGAAGAGAUGGGGAUGGUGAAUAUGGAAUUGGUUACAGUUGCAUUAUUGUUUUCCUUUGCAACAGUUUAUGUUUAACAAACUCAUGUAUUUUUGUUUGUGCGUUCUAUGCAUUUUUUUAACUUGUUUUACGAUAAUUCUAUUGAUUCUGUUAAUAUUUCGAUGGUUUGGAAAGGACCUGUAAUGUGUUGUUGUCAAUAUGAAUUGUUAUGGAAAAUAAGAAUUUCCA
This is a long non-coding RNA of Papaver somniferum (opium poppy), 1174 nucleotides long. RefSeq lists it as uncharacterized. The record is from RefSeq and is a predicted model, not a curated record. NCBI's taxonomy places the organism in Eukaryota, Viridiplantae, Streptophyta, Magnoliopsida, Ranunculales, Papaveraceae. The transcript has 2 exons.